Hippopotamus amphibius kiboko is the source of this 118-nucleotide small nuclear RNA. RefSeq annotates it as U5 spliceosomal RNA. NCBI's taxonomy places the organism in Eukaryota, Metazoa, Chordata, Mammalia, Artiodactyla, Hippopotamidae. The record is from RefSeq and is a predicted model, not a curated record. The transcript has a single exon.
UACUCUGGUUUUUCUUCCGACUGAAUCAAUCUUUCACCUUUUACUAAAGAUUUCCAUGGAGAGAGGGAAAAAAAAGAAAUUAUUUGAAUCGCAGUAGAAAGUCCUGAAAGUGGAAGUU